CGCGUGCGGCGAGCCCCGCCCGCGUCGGAGCCGGGCGCGCGCGACAUCUCCGACCAGCUGCCCUUCCUGGAGUACGAGCUGCACAAGCUGCUGCUGGCCAAGCUCAGGAUGCAGGGCGCGAAUGCAAUCUUCUCGUUGCAAACUCAAAUCGCAAUCGGCGAGCGUUGUGUGAUGGCUUUGGCAAGCGGCACCGCCGUACGACUUGCAGCGCUGCCGGCCCCCACACCGCCCACUAUUAAGGCGUCAGAAAAUGACAAAAACGCGUUGGAGAUUCAACGCGCGUUGUGGGACACAUUCCAAGCUAACCGCACUGCUAAUGGAUAUGAU
Long non-coding RNA from Papilio polytes (common Mormon), 327 nucleotides. RefSeq lists it as uncharacterized. NCBI's taxonomy places the organism in Eukaryota, Metazoa, Arthropoda, Insecta, Lepidoptera, Papilionidae. The transcript is spliced from 3 exons. The record is from RefSeq and is a predicted model, not a curated record.